This 1301-nucleotide ribosomal RNA is filed under the name uncultured bacterium. RNAcentral describes it as "bacterial SSU rRNA". It matches the Rfam family "Bacterial small subunit ribosomal RNA", at positions 55 to 1354 of the family's 1533-position model. The record is from RNAcentral.
AUGCAGUCGAACGAUGAUUAUCUAGCUUGCUAGAUAUGAUUAGUGGCGGACGGGUGAGUAACAUUUAGGAAUCUGCCUAGUAGUGGGGGAUAGCUCGGGGAAACUCGAAUUAAUACCGCAUACGACCUACGGGUGAAAGGGGGCGCAAGCUCUUGCUAUUAGAUGAGCCUAAAUCAGAUUAGCUAGUUGGUGGGGUAAAGGCCCACCAAGGCGACGAUCCGUAACUGGUCUGAGAGGAUGAUCAGUCACACCGGAACUGAGACACGGUCCGGACUCCUACGGGAGGCAGCAGUGGGGAAUAUUGGACAAUGGGGGCAACCCUGAUCCAGCCAUGCCGCGUGUGUGAAGAAGGCCUUUUGGGUGUAAAGCACUUUAAGCAGGGAGGAGAGGCUAAUGGUUUAAUACCCAUUAGAUUAGACGUUACCUGCAGAAUAAGCACCGGCUAACUCUGUGCCAGCAGCCGCGGUAAUACAGAGGGUGCGAGCGUUAAUCGGAAUUACUGGGCGUAAAGCGAGUGUAGGUGGCUCAUUAAGUCACAUGUGAAAUCCCCGGGCUUAACCUGGGAACUGCAUGUGAUACUAGUGGUGCUAGAAUAUGUGAGAGGGAAGUAGAAUUCCAGGUGUAGCGGUGAAAUGCGUAGAGAUCUGGAGGAAUACCGAUGGCGAAGGCAGCUUCCUGGCAUAAUAUUGACACUGAGAUUCGAAAGCGUGGGUAGCAAACAGGAUUAGAUACCCUGGUAGUCCACGCCGUAAACGAUGUCUACUAGCCGUUGGGGUCCUUGAGACUUUAGUGGCGCAGUUAACGCGAUAAGUAGACCGCCUGGGGAGUACGGCCGCAAGGUUAAAACUCAAAUGAAUUGACGGGGGCCCGCACAAGCGGUGGAGCAUGUGGUUUAAUUCGAUGCAACGCGAAGAACCUUACCUGGUCUUGACAUAGUGAGAAUCCUGCAGAGAUGCGGGAGUGCCUUCGGGAAUUCACAUACAGGUGCUGCAUGGCUGUCGUCAGCUCGUGUCGUGAGAUGUUGGGUUAAGUCCCGCAACGAGCGCAACCCUUUUCCUUAUUUGCCAGCGGGUUAAGCCGGGAACUUUAAGGAUACUGCCAGUGACAAACUGGAGGAAGGCGGGGACGACGUCAAGUCAUCAUGGCCCUUACGACCAGGGCUACACACGUGCUACAAUGGUAGGUACAGAGGGUUGCUACACAGCGAUGUGAUGCUAAUCUCAAAAAGCCUAUCGUAGUCCGGAUUGGAGUCUGCAACUCGACUCCAUGAAGUCGGAAUCGCUAGUAAUCGCAGAUCAGAA